Molecule: non-coding RNA, 112 nt
Organism: Acanthosepion pharaonis
Lineage: Eukaryota; Metazoa; Mollusca; Cephalopoda; Sepiida; Sepiidae
Source: the annotation of a GenBank genome assembly
UAUGGCUAUAUCACAUUGAAACUCCAGUUCCCAUACAAUCACUGAAGUUAAGCAACAUCAAGCCUAAUCAGUACCUAGACGGGUGAUUGCUUGGGAAUACUAGGUGCUGUAA